UGCAAGUCUCACUCUUCUACAGAACUGAGGUCAACAAAGAUCAAACACACCCAUACCUCGUUCAUGCAUCUAUGACUUCAAAUCAUCAGAGAAUCCUGAAGUUGACCCAAGAGUCCAAAAGGGGAAGCUGGAAAAGGUGAGAAGCUUUCAUCGCAAAGCUUCAGCGGAUCUGAGGAUGAAGAUCAAUACAAACCUCGCCAUGGGGACAAAACCUCCAAAUAGAUCUACAAGAUAGGGCUAAAAAUCCAAC
RNAcentral lists this long non-coding RNA (250 nucleotides) under Brassica napus (rape). Its description in RNAcentral is "long non-coding RNA (BNAP_LNC010248)". Lineage: Eukaryota; Viridiplantae; Streptophyta; Magnoliopsida; Brassicales; Brassicaceae. The record is from RNAcentral.